RNAcentral lists this ribosomal RNA (460 nucleotides) under uncultured bacterium. RNAcentral's name for it is "partial 16S ribosomal RNA". It matches the Rfam family "Bacterial small subunit ribosomal RNA", at positions 338 to 795 of the family's 1533-position model. The record is from RNAcentral.
CCUACGGGGUGCAGCAGUGAGGAAUAUUGGUCAAUGGACGAGAGUCUGAACCAGCCAAGUAGCGUGAAGGAUGACUGCCCUAUGGGUUGUAAACUUCUUUUAUAUGGGAAUAAAACGUUCCACGUGUGGGAUUUUGUAUGUACCAUAUGAAUAAGGAUCGGCUAACUCCGUUCCAGCAGCCGCGGUAAUACGGAGGAUCCGAGCGUUAUCCGGAUUUAUUGGGUUUAAAGGGAGCGUAGGUGGAUUGUUAAGUCAGUUGUGAAAGUUUGCGGCUCAACCGUAAAAUUGCAGUUGAAACUGGCAGUCUUGAGUACAGUAGAGGUGGGCGGAAUUCGUGGUGUAGCGGUGAAAUGCUUAGAUAUCACGAAGAACUCCGAUUGCGAAGGCAGUUCACUGGACUGCAACUGACACUGAGGCUCGAAAGUGUGGGUAUCAAACAGGAUUAGAUACCCCAGUAGUC